This 403-nucleotide ribosomal RNA is filed under the name uncultured bacterium. Its description in RNAcentral is "bacterial SSU rRNA". It matches the Rfam family "Bacterial small subunit ribosomal RNA", at positions 356 to 773 of the family's 1533-position model. The record is from RNAcentral.
UAGGAAUCUUGCGCAAUGGGAGAAAUCCUGACGCAGCGAUGCCGCGUGAGUGAAGAAGGCCUUCGGGUUGUAAAGCUCUUUUAGUUGGGAAAAAAUAAAUGAUGGUACUAACAGAAAAAGCACCGGCAAACUCCGUGCCAGCAGCCGCGGUGAUACGGAGGGUGCAAGCGUUACUCGGAAUUAUUGGGCGUAAAGGGCGCGUAGGCGGCCUGUUAAGUCUAGUGUGAAAUCCCCGGACUCAAUUCGGGAACUGCACUGGAUACUGGCGGGCUAGAGUUCAGGAGGGGAGAGCGGAAUUCCUGGUGUAGAGGUGAAAUUCGCAGAUAUCAGGAGGAACAACAGUGGCGAAGGCGGCUCUCUAGACUGAUACUGACGCUGAGGCGCGAAAGCGUGGGGAGCAAAC